UUGAUUGUGUGGCAGAGGACACCUGUACCUUCUCUUUGAAGGGGAAAAGGUGCCUCCUCCUCCUCCACAGAUGCCUCCGUCCUCCUCCACCAUCUGCCCGCCGACACCAGACGCCAGAGGGGAGCGGCAGCGAGCAGAGAUGAGAGGACGAUGACUUCAUUUCACGCCAGAAUCCAGCUUUCACUGACAUCACACGGCUGACAUUGAUGUGUACUUCAGACAACAUUUGACAGGGCGAGAGACGAUCUCCUCAGUUCUAACACCGCUGGAUGAGAGAUGAGCCGCGAUCGUCCCCGGCUGGGACGAUCUUCCUGGACGGCGCGACGUUUUGGACCCAUCUGGCCCCGAGCCCGUCCCCUGCCAGACGUCCCGUUAAUGAAAUGGCAGCAGCCCAAUGCUCCGUAUCUGUCAUCAGCAAUCUGCAUCUGCUCAGGGACUCAACGGAAAUGAGGAAGAGGGAUGAACACGGAGGAAGGCAGAGAGACUCUGUGUCCCCCGAGCAGGUGCCAUGUUUGUGUGCGUGUGCGUGUCAGGGUGAAUGCGUGUGUGUGUGUGUGUGUGUGUGUGCGUGUGUGGUGGCUCCGUCCCUGUUUUUAGCACAGCGUGAAAUCUAAGUUAUAGAUUUCUUUUUUUGAGAGGAGAAAGUAGCCACAGCGGGCCGCCUCAUCUUUCAUCUCCACUGGAUCAAAUAGGUGAGGAUAUUUCAUCGGUUCUGCGUUACAACAAGGCUCCAAUGCAUCUUAUCUGUCAGGGGGAAAAUGGCUCGCUGUACCUCGUCUGGGCCCCCGGGGGCCACAUGGGGUCGACACAUUUUUCAACUUCAACAAAUUUAGACUCCACCCGAACAACCCUAACAAAUAUGUGCUGGAAACACCAUCAUUCAACAACAGCUUCAUUGUCCUAAACUUUGAGAUUUUAUUGUGCCGAUGGC
This is a long non-coding RNA of Gasterosteus aculeatus aculeatus (three-spined stickleback), 931 nucleotides long. The record is from Ensembl. Lineage: Eukaryota; Metazoa; Chordata; Actinopteri; Perciformes; Gasterosteidae.